GAGCAGCAGGUCCCCCGGAUCUGAGUUCUCCCAUGGCAUAAUUGAACUCUCUGAUCCACCUAACAUUUCGCGUCGCCCACAGAACCUACCCCUCCUAGCUAGGCUACAACUUCGGCAUCGGCCGGCGAUGGCUAAUCUGGCAGAAGCUGGCUACGUGUUCCAACCCACCGGCCGUGAGCUCGUCGGCCACUACCUCAUGCCCAGGGCGGGGCUCGGCGGCUUCUUCCUCCCCGCCGUCAUCGAGGAGGGCGUGGACGUCUUGUCCUUGCGCCCACGCGCGCUCUCCUUCCCGAAAAACCACAGGAGGGAUUACGGCGAGGUAUGGGGCUUCUUCUUCGCGGCAAAGCCCGCCGGCGAGACGUGCCCGACGCCGGGCGCGGGCGGGUGCUGGGAGCAGUACGGCCAGGAGAAGGCGUACUACGGCGGCGAGGGCAGCCGGGAGGCAGUGGCGUUCAGGCGCAGGUUCGCGUACCGCUACACGUGGAGGGACGGGGAGGUAAUAUCACAGAUGCGCUGGCGGAUGAAGGUGUACCGGCUCAACAGGAACGCGGCCGCCUUCCGCCGCGCGCACCCCGGCCCCGUGCCACCAGACGUCGUCUUCGUGGUCCACAAGGUCUACAGGAAGCCGCUGAUCCCUCCGCCGCUGCCGCCCGACAGCAGCUCCAGCGAGGACGAGGGCUCCGAGAGCUACGUCGUAUACCCGGGACUCGAUGAGAUCAUGCGGAGGUUAACGGAGGGGAACUAGGGCGACCAAGGGGCGGUGCUGCCCCUCCUGCAGGAGUAGCAUUACGCCACAGCUGCAUGUUCAUUUCUUCAGCGUUGUUGUGUGUGUCUCUUGUUUCAUUUCAGUUCUGGAUUGUGCGCUCGAUCUAGUUGAGGCAGAUUGGUUGCUCUAGUUCAUCGAUCGCUGUUUUCAUCGUUUCGGAGUUUUCUUCUGUCGCUUAGACAUAGCUUUGAUCUUGUAUGACUUUGCUAUUUGUAUGUGUAUUUAUCUGUGUGUGCGUGUGUUGGUGUGGCUGUGUGUAUCCUAGCUAUGUGAGGGUUGUGAUUGUGCUCAUUGUGUUUGUAUAUAUUUGGUUGAUGCUUCAUUUGAGUCAAUAAAAUUCCCCCUUUAUCAAAAAAAAAUGUGAUCCAUCUUCCUUGCAACAUCUAUCAGAACAGUUCAGAGGUGUUAUAUCUUUUAGAGAACUUACAGUUUUCUCUGCACAUUUAUUGUUCAUACUAGAAAAUUUGUAAGCACCAAAUCAUGCUGCAGAAAUUCAGUGAGGUUGAGAAUUAAUUGGUCUCCGUUUCUUUCUAGAUACUCCCUCCGUCCCGAAAAACAUGUCGCGAGGGCAAUUUUACAAAAAAAAACUUUAGUUUCUCCCGACCAAACCCGCACUCCUCGUCGUCCUCCUCCGACAGAAUCCCCAGCUGCGCUGCUCCCCGCCGCCGUCGCUUCCCCGCUCCCCCGCCGCAGCUGCGCUGCUCCCCGCCGCCGCGGCUCCCCUGCUCCCCCACUCCCUCGCCGCAGCUGCCUCCUGCUCCGACGCCGCAGCUGCCGCUCGCCUGCCUCCCCAAGCUCCCCCCUUCCUCAUAAAAAUCUUCGAUUUCCCCAGCUUAAGCUCGACGACCCACGCGCCACCACAGGAGGAGGGAACCGAGGUCGGCGCCCCCUGCCAAUCUCCACAGCCUCCAGCGACCAACCCUAUCUCCUGCCCCCUGCAACUGGUCCUGCCAGUACGCCGCGUCCGCCGCCGGUGAAUGCCCUCCGCGAGGACUGCGCCUAGCCCCUCUUCUCCGGCGCUCCUCGGCCAUCCCCGACCCUCUGCUUGGUCGCCAGGGACGUGCUGCUCCGCGCCUGCUCCAGAAAUCCAGAAAUCCAAGAAUCUAGCUCGUAGGCACUCGCAGAUGAUUAUCGACGAGAAUCAGAAGGUCCAUUCGGAGCUGGAUUGCAAGAUGCAGGAUCUUGAGCUCAAAUCCAAGAAGCUUGAUGAGCUUGCUGUGCGUAGCGAAUCUGACAGAAGGAAUCUAGAGAAGGAGAAGGAAAAGGUACGUGCCAAAUGUCUGCCGUAAAAAAAAUCAUAUGGAUGAUGGUUGAUUGUUUCCGUGCUUCUUUCUAGAUUACGCUGAAAGAAAAGACCACCACAAAAUUGUUUCUGCAUAACACUCAUGUCAGGCCGUUGUGGUGAAUACAGAACAUGAUCAAAGCAAAAUAUCUCAAGAUGGCAACAUUGGAGCAACAGAAGACUGACGAAAAUGUCCUGAAGCUUGUGGAAAAACACAAGGUUUGUGCCCUUAUAACACUGAAGAUCUACUGAAUUUUAGUGAAUGUGAGAUGUUUUGAUCUGAACUAGCUAUGUUACAACAACCUGACAAAAUACUCUGAAAGAUGUUAGAGAUCUUUUGAUCUGAACUAGCUAUGUCAGAGUCUAACUGAUUUGGUGCUUCUUCAAAUAAAUCCAAAUAACCCAAAUUAAUUCAAAUAACCCAGAUAAUCCAUACUCCUGCUAGCAAUGACAAAAGAUGAGUACAUCAUGGUACCAUAACAAGGAUAUACACACAGAAAAUGAGUAGAAUGACAGGAGCCUUGCAACCAUUACAAAAAUGUGAACUACUGACUAAGAAAUGUUAUGACAGGAGCCUUUGUAACACCAUUUCAUUUCUUGUUCCUUUCUUGCUUGCUUGCUUCUCUACUUACAGUAGUUUCUACAGCCGUUCUCUUGUUUGUUCCUCUAGUACUGAUAGAGGUCCCAGAGCUAGUAGCAGUUCCUCUAGCAAGUGCCAUAUAUAACUACUCUACUUACUUACUCAUCAUCUCAUGAUUCUGCUCCUAACCUCUUUUUUACUGCCAUUAAUGAAUUUGUCUUAUUUCUGCUACUUUGGAGCAGGUUUUUCCUUCUCUGUCUCUGAACUGUGAUGUGCUCUGCUAAAGUGCUAAUGCCACUAAAUCGUCUUGUUCUGCCUGGCUUAACAAGAUCCACAUUCUCAUUUUAAAAAAAAGGCUUCACAAUUUCACAGCUACUCCUAGUAAUUGCUCUGCAUCUACUGAUUUUUUCUGUGCCAUGUCAAGCAUAGAUAGGUUCAAUUAAUUUGCUUGAAUUAUCAAAAUUACUGUCACUACUACUGUAUGCUUUGACACUGUCGAAACUGAUUUAGUGUGAAUAUGUGCCUUAUGUAACCAAUAAUUUCUGUAUCAAGGUUUAAUGUGAAUAUGUGCCUUAUGUAAUGAUUUUCUCCCAACAAGCUUCAGACCACGUUUUGUACACACCUACUGUUAACUGUUUUAUUCAGUGUUUCUCUGUAGAAAUCUGAACAUUAUUUUCAUUUAACUUGUACUUGCAGCACAAGCAUGGCCAUCCACCAACAUGCAAAACAAGUUCCAGACCAAAAAUAUGUGUUUCUUGCUGUUUACUCAACUGAACCAGAUUUGGGUUUUCAAGUUCCAAGGUUUCUGCUAACAGCAUACAGAUUAAAUUGAAAAGCUGGAUUCAUCUAAAUCAUGGACAGUUCAAAACCAAUUAUUUCUAGCUUGCUCCCUCCACCCCCCCUGAUAUCUACUGAUUUUUAUUCAAUUAACACUAAUCAUAUUCAGUUAACAGGAGCAGAGCAGUUCUUCCUGACGAACAAGAGCAGAGCAGCAACUCCCGUACACUGAUCAUAUUCAGCACAGGGAGCAGAGGAGCAACUCCUUACGGUACCUUCUUCCUCUUGACGAGCAGGAGCUCUGGCGGCAGCACGGGCAGACGAGCAGCAGCAGCACCGGCGGUAGGGGAGAAGCAGCCGCACGGGCGCGCGGGCAGGGGAGAAGCAGCCGCACGGGCUCGCGCGAAAGAUUGAGGAGGGCGCGCGGGCAGGGGAGAAGGAGGACGCGCGCGAGCUCCUGGUCCACCGGAUCGUGGAGGCAAUUUCCGGCAACGCCCGUAGGGGAUUGCGGCCGGGAUGAAUUGCGGCGGCGCACGCGCGGGAGCUCGAGGAGGAUGCACUGGAGCUUGAGGAGGAUGCGCUGGAGCUUGAGGAGGAUGCGCGGGAGCUCGAGGUGUACGCCCGCGAGCUCGAGGAGGACGUGGCCGGAGGUCCCGACGAUGCCCGCAGGUAAUCGAGGCGGGAGGGGAUCGCGGCGACGCAGGUCUGAGCGGGGGAGGCGGCGGAGCAGGUACUUGGCGACGGCAGCGGCGGAGCAGGUAGGUGGCGACGGCGGCGGAGCACUUCCUGAUGGGCGGCGAGUCGCGCAGCUGGGCGGCGCCGGCCCCUAUCGACGGCGGAGGAAGAAGACAGGGGGCGGAGGGGCUUGUUUCAGACAAUUUUAAAACUACAAGGGCUUUUUUGCAAAAUCAACAUUGAACUGCGCCCGCGACAUGUUUUUUGGGACGGAGGGAGUAUAUGAAUUGGACUGAACUGAGAGGCUAAGGCUAAGGGAAAUUUCUCCGUACAUGCUACUGGCUGAAAUACUAUCAAGCUUACGAUAAUCGCUUUAGGGCUGCACGAGUUAUUUUUGGCAGCACUUUGAUGUGUUAGACUCAAGAGUCAAGACCCUGAAGUUCAAAAUAUUUCUAGCCAUUGCUCUCCAGUCUCCAGAGCUUUAGCCAAGUCAAGCAGAUUUUGUAGCAAUUGCAUUUGCGAAGGAGUAAUGGUUUUAAUUCAACAAAUAAUUAGUGCCUUUCUGACUUAUAUCUGAAUUAUGUCCUUAUGAUGCACAUUCACCUUGCAUAAUGAAUAUACAAAAUUUCAGAAAACUGCCAGUAUAUUUCAGGAGGUAUAUCCUUCGACCUUCAGGUAACCCUAUGAUUUUAUUUGCUUGUACCUGUUUAGAGAUUAUAAUUUCCGAGGGUUGGUCACAGUCUCACAGAAAAGUUGUAAUCACCUAAUCAUAGUGCGGAUCCCUUCUAUAAAUUGGACUGAACUGAAGCACGAGUAAAUUUCAAUGCUACUGAUGACUGGAAUAUUCAUGAUCCAGAGGACUAAAUUUGUGCUAGUCAAUUCGGUCCAGAGCUUACCAAUGACUGGUAGAUCUUGUAGCACUUCACUUGCCGAGCAUUUAGUUUCCACUUUCUAUUAAUAAUAGCAGCAGAUCAUGACGAGGAAAGUUUUGUGUGUGUUCGAAACGAGGCCGACAAACGAUUUUGCAGCACAGAUAACUAGCUGAAUAUGAUCUCCAGAAUUGGAUCCAUCAUCCAUGUAUCUGUGACUUACCAUCCUACUGUGUUUUUGUUGGAGGAAAAUGCUGUCCACAACUGCACAUUGUGUAGGAAUCUACUGACCACUGCUGUUACAGAAAGUCCCAGGAGGCCAGAAUCGAAUACUCCCAGGAUUUUUAGAAGCUUAUUAUUCACUUCGAAGGACAAUCUUGGAUUUGCAAUAGGACUUGGCUUGGAGAACAUCACUGCCUGCCAUCACGAUCGUGCCACUAUAUAUACAGCCCCUAAUCCCAAACCUCCCUUGAUUCGAUCGAACUCCUCUUCCCUCCGAGAGUUAUUUACCCAAAACCACCACACUUAGGGCUAGGGUAACAACUUGGUAUCAGAUUCAAGGCAGGGCAUCAAAAACCACCAGAAUUGCGCCUAAUGUGUAACGCGGAGCACUGAUGCUGGGAUUCGGCCAUGAAAACAGCCAAACCGACAGGUGGGUCCCGCUUGUCGGGCUGACGUGGCGAAGACCCAAAAGUUUGACCGACUGAUGUGGCAAAUGAGACUCGGCCCCACCUGUCAAUGACUAGCAAGUUAUCUUCUUCACAACAUUUAUUCUAUGGAGCAUUCCAUCGAGCACCUUCUGUGCAUUCAUCCUCUGGUCACCGAAGAAGGCACCGCACGACAUGGCCACGCCGGAGCAGUGACCAGCUGAACGGCGAGAGUAAGGACCAGAGGAACGGCGGCCGGACGCCUCCACCCGAGAGUAGUGGCGCCUGCGUGAAGAAGAAGGCGACCGUACGCACAGGUGAGGUCGCGCGGCGGCGCACCAUGGAGCCGGCAGAUGCAGCCGCGGCAGUGAGAAACUUGGGUGGCGUCCAUGGUUCUUCUUGUGCGGUUGUGGAGGCGACGGGGGACUUGGGUUGCUCGUGCUCGGCAGGGAUCGCCCUGGUCGAGCGUCGCCGCCGCUAGCGCGCCCGCGGCCAACGGCCCGACGUCCAUGGUGUUCUUCUGCGGAUGGUGGCGCGAGCGCAACGGCGAGCUGCGGGCCGAGCUCGAGGAGGUGGCGUCAGGGGCUCAUGGGAAGCGGAGCAGCUCGUCUGCCUCUCCAUGGAUUGCCGGCGGCGCACGGCGAGCGCAGCGGCGAGCUGCGGGCCGACCUCCGGGAGGUGGCGUCGGUGCCUCAUGGGGAGCGGCGGCGGCUCGUCUUCCUCUCCAUGGCGUGACGACGGGGGAAGAUAGGUGGGCGCGGCCACUCGGCAAGGAGAGAGACGGGGAAGGAGGACGGCGGCGUGCCGUUGCCAUGGUGGCCAUGGAGCUCUCGGCUCGGCCGUCCAUCCCAGCAGGGCGGCGGCGGGAUUCAAGGGUUCAUGGCGCGCGGGGAAGAGUCUGAGGCGGACGGGGCUAGCUUGAGCAGGGGGCUGCGCCAUGGCCAUGAAGCUCUCGUCUCGCAUGGACAGAGGUGGCUCGACCGCACACAAACUGCUCGAUGCAUUGCUCAAAGGAAAUAAAGAUGAGAUGAAGAUGAUCAUGUAGCCAAUGACAGGCGGGGCCCACAUCUCACAUGCCACCUCACCUGGUCAUCAUUUUGUGUUGUGCUCGGUCUUCACCACGUCAGCCCGACAGGCGGGACCCACCUGUCGGUUUGGCUGUUUUCAUGGCCAGAUUCCAGCAUCAGUGCUCCGCGUUACACAUUAAGCGUAAUUUUGAUGGUUUUUUAUGCCCUACCGGUAGUUUUGGGUAAACAACCCUCCGAGGCCCCAAGCCCAACAACCCCACCUCCUCGCCCUCUUCGCUUCGCAACUCUCCAUCCCCAUGGCGACGCCGCAACCCGCGGGGCUGACGCUGCGGCCAGGAGUAGUGUUCAGGCCCAGCGGCCGCCAGCUCAUCACGCUGUACCUCGGCCGCAACGCGCUCCGCGGCGAGCUCCCCGACGCCGCCGUCAUCCCCGGCGGCUGCGUCGUCACGGCGGGCGUGGACGUCUUCUCCGCGAGCCCCGGCGCGCUCCCCUUCCAGGCGAGCCACAGGGGGGCGCACGGGGAGGUGUGGGGCUACUUCGCCGCCGCGGCCCCGACCGCCGACAGCGCCCAGCCUGCGCCGGGCGGGUGCUGGGUGCGGCAGGGCGCCGAGAAGCGGUACGAGCUCAAGGGGGAGGCGCUCGGCUACCGGAGCAGGUGCGCGUUCUACGCCACGCGGGCGGUGCGGGCUCGGGUGGUGUGGACGCCGACGCGGUGGCUGAUGAAGGAGUACCGCCUCGACAAGGGCGCCGCCGUCUUCCGCAGCAAGCUGCCCGACCACCCCAACGCCAACAUGGAUUUCGUGGUCCGCAAGGUCUUCACCAAGCCGGCGGUUCCCGUGCCGCCGCCUGCCCGCUCCGGCUUGGUGGUCCGGCGGGUAGGAGGCAGCGUUCCGUCGCGCCAAGCCCAACCAACCCGGGCGGCGUUCGUCAAGGCCCGAGGGGGCGCUCCACCGCUACUGCCGUGUGCCCGCCCUGGCGAGGCGCUCCGGCCAGGAGGAAGCCCCCUUCCGCCGCGCUCGGACCGACCACCUAAGGUCAUCGCGAAGCAGGUGAUCCUUGCCCCGCCUGCGCACUCCGGCGUAAACGAGGACGCCGGCAACCUCAACGACAAUGCCAUGUCGUGGACGCGCGUCGGCGGGGAGUACAACUACAACUACAAGGUACCCAGCGGCCGCCAGAUCAUCGUCGAGUACCUCGGCCCCAAGGCGACCACUGGCAAGAUCGCCGACCGCGCCGCCCCGGGCUCCGUCGCGGAGGGCGUGGACAUCUUCGCGGCGAGCCCGGACGCGCUCCCCUUCCCGCCCAGCCACAGGAAGCAGGGCGGGGAGGCGUGGGGCUACUUCUUCGCGGCGAAGCCCGCCAGCAGCAUGCGGCGGGCGCCCGGCGGGUGGUGGAUGCAGUACGGCGACGCGAAGGGGUACGAGUUCCGCGGGGAGGUGUACGCCCGCCACCGCAGGUUCGCGUUCCGCGCGGCGCGGGCGGACGACGGCGGCGGCAAGGUGACGUGGGAGCAGACGCGGUGGCUGAUGAAGGAGUACGCGCUCCACAAGGGCGCGUCCGCCUUCCGCGGCGCGACAGCCGGCCCGGCCGGUGCCAACAUGGACCUCGUGGUCUACAAGGUGUUCACGAAGCCGGUGGUCACCCCGCCGCCGCCAGCCCGCUCGAGCGAGGCGGAGAACCAGGCGAGGAAGGGCUCAGAUGCGCCCAGGAUUGUUUUCGACAUUGAUUUGAACAACUAACCGCUCACGCCGGGUUCGACAUUGAUCCACGGCCACGCACAGAACACGGAAGGGAAUUAACCCGGCUGUUUCUUCAGUGGUGUUCUGGCUCUGGAGGCAUCUCCAUUGCAGCCAGCAAACGUUCACGAAGCUUUUGAUUUGCCUUGCAUGGAUGAUUUUUGUUGGCAACUGCAUUACUCUCUGAAAGUGAAGAAACUUGUACAGGUGAGAGUUGGUAGGAAUGUUCCCGUUUGCUUCUUUACAUAUGAUGACAUUUUGAUCUGUCUAUCCUUCUAUGGUCAUCUUAUACUCAUACUGAUUACUGCAAUUGUCAAGAAUUGAUUACUGCAAUUGGCAAGAACAGAUGAACUGUUAUGUUUACCAGAUAGCUGUAAGACAUCUUAUCUUUCUUCAAGGCAGAUGGUGCCUACAUUUUCGCAAGCAAGUGCGUAGCCAUUCAUACUGAAAUGAAAUCAUGAAAAGAUAUCAGUAAUUUGAUUGUACACAUCAGUGUGACUGUACAUCGAGAAGCAACAAUGUGAUUCAUUAUACACAGAGAACUUCUCAAGGAAAGAACUAACAGGUUGUACUCCUAGAGAAAAACAUGAACUGAUGAAGCUGCAGGCAGCCCUUCGCUAAUACUCCCUCCGUCCC
RNAcentral lists this long non-coding RNA (8996 nucleotides) under Triticum aestivum (bread wheat). RNAcentral's name for it is "long non-coding RNA (TAES_LNC024368)". The record is from RNAcentral. Lineage: Eukaryota; Viridiplantae; Streptophyta; Magnoliopsida; Poales; Poaceae.